Molecule: ribosomal RNA, 397 nt
Filed under: uncultured bacterium
Lineage: Bacteria
Description: partial 16S ribosomal RNA
Rfam family: Bacterial small subunit ribosomal RNA
Source: RNAcentral
CCUACGGGUGGCAGCAGUGGGGAAUAUUGCGCAAUGGGCGAAAGCCUGACGCAGCGACGCCGCGUGAGGGAUGAAGGUCUUCGGAGCGUAAACCUCUGUCAGGAGGGAAGAAGUGGUUAUAUGCGAAUAGUGUAUGACUUUGACGGUACCUCCAAAGGAAGCAUCAGGUCACCCCGUGCCAGCAGUAGCGGUGAUACGGAGGGUGCGAGCGUUAAUCGGAAUCACUGGGCGUAAAGCGCGCGGAGGCGGCUUUUCAAGUGCAGCGGGAAAUUCCACGGCCCAACCGUGGAACUGCCAUUGAUACUGAUGAGCUUGAGUGGCAGAGAGGGAGGCGGAAUUCAAGGUGUAGGGGUGAAAUGCGUAGAUAUCUGGAGGAACACCGAUGGCGAAGGCGGCC